CAAUAGCGUAUAUUUAAGUUGUUGCAGUUAAAAAGCUCGUAGUUGGAUUUCGGAUGGGAUUUGCCGGUCCGUCGUUACGAUGUGCACUGGCCGGUCCUAUCUUGUUGUCGGGGACCAGCUCCUGGGCUUCACUGUCCGGGACUGGGAGCCGACGAAGUUACUUUGAGUAAAUUAGAGUGUUCAAAGCAAGCCUACGCUCUGAAUAUAUUAGCAUGGAAUAACACGAUAGGACUCUGGCUUAUCUUGUUGGUCUGUGAGACCAGAGUAAUGAUUAAGAGGGACAGUCGGGGACAUUCGUAUUUCAUUGUCAGAGGUGAAAUUCUUGGAUUUAUGAAAGACGAACUUCUGCGAAAGCAUUUGUCAAGGAUGUUUNCAUUA
This 378-nucleotide ribosomal RNA is filed under the name uncultured eukaryote. RNAcentral's name for it is "partial 18S ribosomal RNA". It matches the Rfam family "Eukaryotic small subunit ribosomal RNA", at positions 592 to 975 of the family's 1831-position model. The record is from RNAcentral.